AGUACGUGAAACUGCUUAGAGGUUAAGCCCGAUGAACCUGAAUAUCCGUUAUGGAAAAUUCAUCAUUAAUUCUAUGAUAUUUUAAAAAUAUUAUUUGAAAUAUUGUGCAAUUUUUCCAUAUAAGGACAUUGUAAUCUGUUAAUAAAAGUUAAAUUUAUCAUAAGAUCUUUUACUAUAAGUUUAUUCAAAUUAGUUAUUUUCGGAUUUCUAACAUAGAAUAAAGGUAUUGGAUUUGAUAAAUAGUUGACAGAUUUCAUUGUAUAUAGUGCUUAAAUUUUUCGGAAUUUUACAAUAUUAUUUUAAUCUAUUGAUUUUGAUAUAUUGUAUGCGCUUAUAUGAUUAACAAUGCGAUAGAUUCAGGAUACCUUCGGGACCCGUCUUGAAACACGGACCAAGGAGUCUAACAUAUGUGCAAGUCAUUGGGAAUUUUAAUUAAAACCCAAUGGCAUAAUUAACUUAACUGUUUAAAUGGAAUUAGUUUAUGUUUUAUUAUGAAAUAUGAAUUCAAUUCCGGGGCGUUCUAUAUAGUUAUGUAUAAUAGUAUUUAUAUUAUUUAUACCUCUAACUAGAGC
This 572-nucleotide ribosomal RNA is filed under the name Graptomyza sp. 1 XM-2008. Its description in RNAcentral is "eukaryotic LSU rRNA". The record is from RNAcentral. Lineage: Eukaryota; Metazoa; Arthropoda; Insecta; Diptera; Syrphidae.